RNAcentral lists this ribosomal RNA (253 nucleotides) under uncultured bacterium. RNAcentral describes it as "partial 16S ribosomal RNA". It matches the Rfam family "Bacterial small subunit ribosomal RNA", at positions 524 to 776 of the family's 1533-position model. The record is from RNAcentral.
UACGAAGGGGGCUAGCGUUGCUCGGAAUUACUGGGCGUAAAGGGCGCGUAGGCGGCACUGUUAGUCAGGCGUGAAAGUCCUGGGCUCAACCUGGGAACUGCGCUUGAUACGGCAGAGCUAGAGGAUGGAAGAGGGUCGCGGAAUUCCCAGUGUAGAGGUGAAAUUCGUAGAUAUUGGGAAGAACACCGGUGGCGAAGGCGGCGACCUGGUCCGUGACUGACGCUGAGGCGCGAAAGCGUGGGGAGCAAACAGG